UUAAAUUGAAGAGUUUGAUCAUGGCUCAGAUUGAACGCUGGCGGCAGGCCUAACACAUGCAAGUCGAACGGUAACAGGAAGCAGCUUGCUGCUUCGCUGACGAGUGGCGGACGGGUGAGUAAUGUCUGGGAAACUGCCUGAUGGAGGGGGAUAACUACUGGAAACGGUGGCUAAUACCGCAUAACGUCGCAAGACCAAAGAGGGGGACCUUCGGGCCUCUUGCCAUCAGAUGUGCCCAGAUGGGAUUAGCUGGUUGGUGAGGUAACGGCUCACCAAGGCGACGAUCCCUAGCUGGUCUGAGAGGAUGACCAGCCACACUGGAACUGAGACACGGUCCAGACUCCUACGGGAGGCAGCAGUGGGGAAUAUUGCACAAUGGGCGCAAGCCUGAUGCAGCCAUGCCGCGUGUAUGAAGAAGGCCUUCGGGUUGUAAAGUACUUUCAGCGGGGAGGAAGGUGUUGUGGUUAAUAACCGCAGCAAUUGACGUUACCCGCAGAAGAAGCACCGGCUAACUCCGUGCCAGCAGCCGCGGUAAUACGGAGGGUGCAAGCGUUAAUCGGAAUUACUGGGCGUAAAGCGCACGCAGGCGGUCUGUCAAGUCGGAUGUGAAAUCCCCGGGCUCAACCUGGGAACUGCAUUCGAAACUGGCAGGCUUGAGUCUUGUAGAGGGGGGUAGAAUUCCAGGUGUAGCGGUGAAAUGCGUAGAGAUCUGGAGGAAUACCGGUGGCGAAGGCGGCCCCCUGGACAAAGACUGACGCUCAGGUGCGAAAGCGUGGGGAGCAAACAGGAUUAGAUACCCUGGUAGUCCACGCCGUAAACGAUGUCUACUUGGAGGUUGUGCCCUUGAGGCGUGGCUUCCGGAGCUAACGCGUUAAGUAGACCGCCUGGGGAGUACGGCCGCAAGGUUAAAACUCAAAUGAAUUGACGGGGGCCCGCACAAGCGGUGGAGCAUGUGGUUUAAUUCGAUGCAACGCGAAGAACCUUACCUGGUCUUGACAUCCACAGAACUUUCCAGAGAUGGAUUGGUGCCUUCGGGAACUGUGAGACAGGUGCUGCAUGGCUGUCGUCAGCUCGUGUUGUGAAAUGUUGGGUUAAGUCCCGCAACGAGCGCAACCCUUAUCCUUUGUUGCCAGCGAUUAGGUCGGGAACUCAAAGGAGACUGCCAGUGAUAAACUGGAGGAAGGUGGGGAUGACGUCAAGUCAUCAUGGCCCUUACGACCAGGGCUACACACGUGCUACAAUGGCGCAUACAAAGAGAAGCGACCUCGCGAGAGCAAGCGGACCUCAUAAAGUGCGUCGUAGUCCGGAUUGGAGUCUGCAACUCGACUCCAUGAAGUCGGAAUCGCUAGUAAUCGUGGAUCAGAAUGCCACGGUGAAUACGUUCCCGGGCCUUGUACACACCGCCCGUCACACCAUGGGAGUGGGUUGCAAAAGAAGUAGGUAGCUUAACCUUCGGGAGGGCGCUUACCACUUUGUGAUUCAUGACUGGGGUGAAGUCGUAACAAGGUAACCGUAGGGGAACCUGCGGUUGGAUCACCUCCUUACCUUAAAGAA
Molecule: ribosomal RNA, 1554 nt
Filed under: Salmonella enterica subsp. enterica serovar Ouakam
Lineage: Bacteria; Pseudomonadati; Pseudomonadota; Gammaproteobacteria; Enterobacterales; Enterobacteriaceae
Description: bacterial SSU rRNA
Rfam family: Bacterial small subunit ribosomal RNA
Source: RNAcentral